GGUUGAAAAUUCCGAUGGUUAGAGAUGGGCAUGCGUUGUAUUAGCUAGUUGGUGGGGUAACGGCUCACCAAGGCGACGAUACAUAGGGGGACUGAGAGGUUAACCCCCCACACUGGUACUGAGACACGGACCAGACUCCUACGGGAGGCAGCAGUGAGGAAUAUUGGUCAAUGGACGCAAGUCUGAACCAGCCAUGCCGCGUGCAGGAUGACGGCUCUAUGAGUUGUAAACUGCUUUUGUACGAGGGUAAACGCAGAUACGUGUAUCUGUCUGAAAGUAUCGUACGAAUAAGGAUCGGCUAACUCCGUGCCAGCAGCCGCGGUAAUACGGAGGAUUCAAGCGUUAUCCGGAUUUAUUGGGUUUAAAGGGUGCGUAGGCGGUUUGAUAAGUUAGAGGUGAAAUUUCGGGGCUCAACCCUGAACGUGCCUCUAAUACUGUUGAGCUAGAGAGUAGUUGCGGUAGGCGGAAUGUAUGGUGUAGCGGUGAAAUGCUUAGAGAUCAUACAGAACACCGAUUGCGAAGGCAGCUUACCAAACUAUAUCUGACGUUGAGGCACGAAAGCGUGGGGAGCAAACAGGAUUAGAUACCCUGGUAGUCCACGCAGUAAACGAUGAUAACUCGUUGUCGGCGAUACACAGUCGGUGACUAAGCGAAAGCGAUAAGUUAUCCACCUGGGGAGUA
Molecule: ribosomal RNA, 681 nt
Filed under: uncultured bacterium
Lineage: Bacteria
Description: bacterial SSU rRNA
Rfam family: Bacterial small subunit ribosomal RNA
Source: RNAcentral